This 379-nucleotide unclassified non-coding RNA is filed under the name soil metagenome. RNAcentral's name for it is "partial contains 5.8S ribosomal RNA, internal transcribed spacer 2, and large subunit ribosomal RNA". The stretch from base 1 to 120 matches the Rfam family "5.8S ribosomal RNA", at positions 35 to 154 of the family's 154-position model. The record is from RNAcentral.
GAUGAAGAACGCAGCGAAAUGCGAUAAGUAAUGUGAAUUGCAGAAUUCAGUGAAUCAUCGAAUCUUUGAACGCACCUUGCACCCUUUGGCAUUCCGAAGGGUAUGCUCGUUUGAGUGUCAUUGUACUCUCACACUUCCAAUCUUUGGAUUGGGAGCAGUGGACUUGGGUGUUGCUGCUUACUGUGGCUCACCUCAAAUCGAUUCGUGCACCUCUUGGUUGGACAUAGUACGGCGUGAUAAGUGUCUUCGCCGGCACCUCAGUAGAGGGUGGCUGAUCAGGAGCUCUGUGCUUCAAACCGUCCUCGGACAAAAACUGACAACUUGACCUCAAAUCGAGUAGGACUACCCGCUGAACUUAAGCAUAUCAAUAAGCGGAGGA